This 460-nucleotide ribosomal RNA is filed under the name uncultured bacterium. RNAcentral describes it as "partial 16S ribosomal RNA". It matches the Rfam family "Bacterial small subunit ribosomal RNA", at positions 338 to 795 of the family's 1533-position model. The record is from RNAcentral.
CCUACGGGUGGCAGCAGUGAGGAAUAUUGGUCAAUGGGCGGAAGCCUGAACCAGCCAAGUAGCGUGCAGGAUGACGGCCCUACGGGUUGUAAACUGCUUUUAUACGGGAAUAACGCGCCUUACGUGUAGGGCUUUGCAUGUACCGUAUGAAUAAGGACCGGCUAAUUCCGUGCCAGCAGCCGCGGUAAUACGGAAGGUCCGGGCGUUAUCCGGAUUUAUUGGGUUUAAAGGGAGCGUAGGCCGCAGGUCAAGCGGGCUGUGAAAUGUCCGGGCUCAACCCGGGCCUUGCCGGGCAUACUGGCGGGCUUGAGUCCGCAGAAGGCAGGCGGAAUUCGUGGUGUAGCGGUGAAAUGCUUAGAUAUGACGAAGAACCCCGAUUGCGAGGGCAGCUUGCUGCAGCGGAACUGACGCUGAUGCUCGAAAGCGCGGGUAUCGAACAGGAUUAGAUACCCCUGUAGUC